This 258-nucleotide ribosomal RNA is filed under the name Cladonia sp. R0090034. Its description in RNAcentral is "partial 18S ribosomal RNA". The record is from RNAcentral. Lineage: Eukaryota; Fungi; Ascomycota; Lecanoromycetes; Lecanorales; Cladoniaceae.
GUGAUGGGUUUGCCUACCGAAGUCCUAAGCUAGCGACAAUAAACAAUUUAGCCAUAGUCGGCCCCUCCGGGGGCUGGCGACGCCAUCAAUCUGUGCCUGGAAGUGCCUCCUUUGGGGUAUCCUACCAGCAGCUCGUUGCCCUGCGGCAUCCGAGUUCACAGAUCAAACGAUAGCGGCCACUCAGGUGGUUGAGAUAUGAUCGGCCCCCAGCUUACACCGAGCUGGCGAAAAUUUGCGGAACCUGCGGAAGGAUCAUUA